This 614-nucleotide ribosomal RNA is filed under the name Empecta sicardi. RNAcentral describes it as "partial 16S large subunit ribosomal RNA". It matches the Rfam family "Bacterial large subunit ribosomal RNA", at positions 1844 to 2735 of the family's 2925-position model. The record is from RNAcentral. Lineage: Eukaryota; Metazoa; Arthropoda; Insecta; Coleoptera; Scarabaeidae.
UUUAAAGUCUGACCUGCCCAAUGAGGAGUUGAAUGGCCGCGGUAAUUUGACCGUGCAAAGGUAGCAUAAUCAUUAGUUUUUUAAUUGGAAGCUGGUAUGAAUGGUUGGACGAGGGGGCUACUGUCUCAAUUUAAUUGAAUUAGAAUUUUAUCUUUAAGUUAAAAAGCUUAAAUGUAUUUAAAAGACGAGAAGACCCUAUAGAGUUUUACAUAAUUUGUUAUUUAGUAGGUUUAGUAUAUAUAAUCUUAUAUAAUGAUUUAUGUUUUGUUGGGGUGACAGGAAAAUUAGUUUAACUUUUUCUUUUUUUUAUCAUUAAUGUAUGGGUGUAUGAUCCGUUGAUAGCGAUUAUAAGAUCAAAUUACCUUAGGGAUAACAGCGUAAUUUUUUUUGAGAGUUCAAAUCGAAAAAAGAGUUUGCGACCUCGAUGUUGGAUUAAAAUUAAUUUUUGGUGCAGAAGCUGAAAUAUUAGGUCUGUUCGACCUUUGAAAUUUUACAUGAUCUGAGUUUAAACCGGCGUGAGCCAGGUUGGUUUCUAUCUUUAAACUAUAGGAGUGUUUUAGUACGAAAGGACCAAGCAUUUGUAAUAUAUAUUAGUAUAGAAUUUUAUUAAUUUG